RNAcentral lists this transfer RNA (85 nucleotides) under Methylovorus sp. MM2. RNAcentral's name for it is "tRNA-Leu". It matches the Rfam family "tRNA". Rfam says of the family: Transfer RNA (tRNA) molecules are approximately 80 nucleotides in length. Their secondary structure includes four short double-helical elements and three loops (D, anti-codon, and T loops). The record is from RNAcentral. Lineage: Bacteria; Pseudomonadati; Pseudomonadota; Betaproteobacteria; Nitrosomonadales; Methylophilaceae.
GGGGAUGUGGCGGAAUUGGUAGACGCACUGGAUUUAGGUUCCAGCGCCGCAAGGUGUGAGAGUUCGAGUCUCUCCGUCCCCACCA